This is a long non-coding RNA of Dicentrarchus labrax (European seabass), 1860 nucleotides long. RefSeq lists it as uncharacterized. NCBI's taxonomy places the organism in Eukaryota, Metazoa, Chordata, Actinopteri, Moronidae. The record is from RefSeq and is a predicted model, not a curated record. The transcript has 4 exons.
GCUCAAUACGAGGGCAUGAUGGAUGAUCGGAAGUGAUUGGAUAAUAUGAGGCUGUCAUGGAUCACACAUAAAACCAACCUGAUCCAGUCGAUUCGAUUAAACAGCUAAAAGAUAGUCAGAAGGGACCAUAUUAGGAUGAGAGCAUGGACAGUCAACCUUGGUCGGUCAUUCAAUGGAUGGAGAGAAAUGCAGCAUUUAAAGGGAUUUAAAACCAGUCUUGAACUUGCUCUCUUCCCUCUAGCAUAUCCACAUCCCAACCAGAGGAACAAAUAUCCAGAGCUAAAACAAAAUACUGCCUUUUGGUCAGAUGACAAGGAAGCUUACAGCAUCGCCAGAGCGAGACUGAAAGCUGGCAUCAACGAGGCAAAGCGGCGGCACCAGGAGAGACCUUAAUCAUGUGGGACACUUCCAGAUGUGAUUGAUAUAGAAAGCUGCUGGGCCUGAUGACGGAUAGCUGACCUGGUAGAGCUGGCACCCCAUGUACCAAGGCUGAGUGCUUGCUGCAGUGGCCCAGGGUUGGAAUCUGACCCCCCCCCCUUUCCUGUCACUCUUCAGCUGUCACUAUCAAUUAAAGGCAAUAAAAACCCUCCAAAAAGCAUGUGCCACUCGGCUAGCUGAUGUCAUUACUGACAUUUCUAACAUGUCACUGUCACAGCCACCAUCGAUCCUGUGCAGUGUCUAAAGGACUACCGCCGUGUGGCACUUGAGAAACUGGUUCUUUACCACAUCAAAGACAACAUCCCAAGCAGCUUGAACCCUUGAAUUCAGAGCCAGCAGAUCAACAACACCUAUGAUUUUUGUGGAUUUCAGCUCAGCAUUCAAUACAACUGCACAGACCUGAUUGGACUUGAGAUAUCAACUCUUCCACUCUAGUUCCUCUCAGGGCUUUGUGCCGUGCCCCCUCCUGUGCAUGCUGUACACCCAUUGCAUCCCAUGGAAUGGAGACACCGCCAUCAUCGGCUGGAUUUCAACAACAUCGGCAAAGAGAAUAUUGGGAAGAAAUCAACAAACUUGCAGAGUGGUGCUCAGAAAACCUACUGCUCAACCAAAACAUGACCAAAGGACACACACCACUGUUUACAUGAGUGGGGUUGCGGUGAAUUGUUUUAGGUUGCUGGGAAUCAGCAGAUAACAUUUCAUCACAGAUGAUUAAAACCACCCAGAACAUCAUUAGUACCCAUCUACAGUUAUUUGUGAGGUGCUGAUGCAGAGCCCAAAGAAUAAACUGUUCGCACUGCUGCCGUCUGGAAACCGAUACAGAAGUAUCUGUUGCCAUAUCACCAGACUACAGAGCAGCUUCUUGCUGUGAGAUUGCUCAAUUGACCCUCCAAACUUCACUGUUUUAUUUUUAUGACUCGUCCAUUCAAAUAAUUUCUUUGUGGCAUUUUGUAAUACAACCCUAUGUUGUAAAGUGAUGAAUAAAUGAACCUUGGAACUUGUAAAUACUACCCAUCCCUGAUUACAGUAUGUCUGAACUGCACACUACAUGGAGUUAAGAACUGCUCUGUUCCAAUGCUGGAUUUUUAAUUAUAAGCGUUGUUACAGUGUAAUUUUUCAUAGGUUUUCUUUCUUCAUGAACAGCCCUGUAUGUUGCCUAUACAGUUAGUUCUUAAGUUAGUCAAACAGUAAGAUAUGUAUACAAGUAGAUAUGAGUACAGUACAAUCCCCCACCACUGACACCUUCAAAAUACACCAUUUACACUACUCACACAUGAAAGAGGAGCACGUGUUUUAAAAGAUUAUAAUCCCUCCUAAACAGAUUCUCUUUACACCCAUUAAAGUGUGUCUUGUAUCCAGACUGUAUCUAUGAUAUGAUUGUUACCUGAUUACAUUUACACCUACUAUUAAUAUGUCCUUUGG